GGAUGGAUAAGAAAUAUAACAAAGAAAGAAAUUUGUGACCUAAAAGUACUCUCUCCGUUUCGUAUUAGCUGGCCUUCUUUUUAAAAAUAUUUUUUUCAAUUUAGUUGUUCAAGUUUUAAAAUCAGGAGUAUUUUAUACAUGUAUUUUCCAUUUUAUCCUUGAUAUGAAUACUAAAUAUAUCUACAAUCUUCAAAAUUAUUGAAUGGUGCAUAAGAUUUCAAUUCUCAAAAUCAAAUUUAAAUGAUUAUCGCCAGUUUCAAUUAUAAUUAAUCAAUGUUCUGGACGUCAUAUAUAGAAUGAAGAAAUAUAUACCAAAUUACAAUAGUUAAUCAUUGCAUUAAUUAUUGUACUUUAACAGAUAUACAAGGAUGAAUAUAUAAAAUAUAUUUUUUUUUAAUGGGCAUGCCAAGUGCAUAACGAUCAAUUAAUACGAAAUGAAAAAAAUAUCUACAUGAUUAUAAAUAAAAAUUAUUUUAAAUUUUAUUCAUCUUCUACAAAAAGUUACACUUUAUUCUUCCAGCUGAGCAGGGAGAUCACGAGAAACUAGUCUGAUCCCUAUAGUUCCCUUUGAGAGAUAGAAAGCCUAUCCAUCAGAAUAGGGAUGAGGUAAACGCAUAGCCUAGAGGUCCAAGCUUCGUAUACAAACAUAGUGGGCUAAUUUACCUGUUAUAAGUCAUUUUAUUACCUUAAAUUACUUUUAAAUAUAGAAAAAUAUCAUUAUUUUGACAUAUACUUAAAAAAAAAAAAAAAAUGUGUGUGCAUUUCAUAUACUAAACAAAGGAGUAGCAAGUUAGCUUUUUUAUAAAUUUCCAAAUUAAUAUUUAUGAAGGGAUUGGCGUAUAAUUACCUCAUAAGUGAUUUAAUUGAGUAAAUAUUUGUGAUGACUUCGGUAGUUCGGUACAUACGACUUAAUCUCCUCUUUAUAUAUAGUAGUAUCUAUAUUAGCAAAGUUUAAAGGCAAAUUUCUCUUGAAAUUCUAUAUCGGUGCCUUGGUCUCCUUAUAUAGUCUUGGACAAUCCUUUCCUCAUGAGCUAGUUUUUGAGGUUUGUCACACUCUUUUUUCGCUUGAAAGGUCGGGUUGAAGAGUUUUUUCAAUUAAAGUGACGGUUUUGAAUAGGGAUUAUUUUUAUCAUUUUCGGAGUCGUCACUUAAAAUUGAGUUAUGGUGUUCCAAGUCACCUUAUUGAAUCCCUAAUCAAAAGAAAUUGACUCUUUGUUGGUCUGCAAAAACAGAAGACCGGGUAAGUAAUUCUGUUGACCGAGAGGAAGGUGUGAGGUACCCCUCGAGUCCCGUAGUUCAAGCACGAUCGCUUUUAUCAACUUAUACUUAGCUUUAACUAUUUUGAUAGGUUAUGUUAAAGCCUAAAUUCACUCAUUUUUAAUUAUAUCAAAAACUUGUCUAUUAUCUUAUAUUAAAUAAAUCGAUGAAAAUUUAAAAUAUUUAUCAAGUUAAUUUAGAAAAAUAUUUAUUAAGGUAUAUUUUACAUCCUUAAAUUUUUAAAUGUUUCAAAAAAAUAUAUAUACCACAUUCUUAAUUAAGACGAGUAUUUUAAAUGUAUUUUUAAAUUUGCCUAGUACUAAAAAAAAUUGCCUAAAAUAUCAUCUAACUUUAAAAAUAACUUGAACAAAAUUCAUUAAAGACGAUUAACUAGUUUAACCAAUAAUUUAAAAUUUAUUAAUAACGACGAAUAAUUAAAAUAAAUAAACAAUAUAUAGAAAGAUAACAUCAUAUUAAAGCUAACCUUUAUUUUAAAAAUAUUGUAUGCAAUCAUAUUUUAAAAUAUUCCUAGCAGAUGUAUUAAAGAAAACAGAACUUCAACAUAUAAAAGAAAAUAUUCUUCAACCAACUACAUCUAUUAUACCCAUAUUAAAAUUAAAAAAAAAAUCUUUCAAAAUAAGAUUUUAACUGGAAGUGACAAAAAUAGAUAGGUAACGAUGGUUAUUCAACAUAACUAGCCCGCCGGUGACUAACUCCGGGAGGCGUGGCUGUGGCUGGGUUCACCGGUGCUUGGCUUACCCAUAGCAGCCAGAUCUCGUGGAAAAGAGGAGAGGCAGCGACGGCGUUAAACUUUGUCGGUGGGUUGAUGGACUGAUGGCGUAGGAAAAGGGGAAAAGGGGAGGCGCCAACGAGUAGAUCUGGGGAGGAGGAUGGUCAACGCGGGGAAGGGGAAGAAAGGACGGUGGCAGCGGAAGAAGCGCCGGCCGGUUCCGGCGAGGGAAAAGGAAAAAGGUGGCUGGCCGGAGAUGGUGACCUCGCUGGCCAUUUAGUCGCUGAUUUUAAUGGCUUCCAAGGGAGCUUUUUAAUUAUUUUUGAUGAGUUUCCGGUGAGGGAUUUGCCGAAAAAUUCAAGAAAAAUAAAAUAAUAUCCGCUCAUUCUUCUAUUUGUUUUCUCUCCCCUUUUUAUUACAAGAAUGUACAUGUAUACAAUAUAUGCAUUUUUAAUUGUGGUUUAUGAAUACUGUAUGUGGAUCUGUGAAUACUGUGAAUGUGCAGAAGUAUAUAAAUGAUUUGCAUAAUGUAUUUCUUGCCCAAUGAAUAAUAUCUGUGAAUUGUACAAAUAAUGCAAACAGUGAAUUCAUUUUUUUAUUGAACAAUAAUUAUUAAUAAUGUUUAAACAUUCAACAUAUCUGCAUACAAACAUAUAUAUUUUGUAACUUGAAUGCUAAAUAACGUUCAAGAUCACUUUUCAAUUUCUUAAUUUUUACGAAAGUUUACAAUAGAAAUAGAGUAUUAAAAUAGAACCUGUUAAUAUAUUGAAGCAAAAUUCAAAUGUCGUUUCUCUUUGUUUUUCUCUUUUCCCACCUCAACUUUUCUCUUUGUUUUUCUCUUUUUUCUCUCAAUUUUUUUUUCUCUCUGAUUUUUUUGUUUAAUCUGAUUUUUUGUGUCUGAUCAGUGUGUUGAUGAAUGUCCAUAGAUAGAAUUCUUAAAUAAAGGAUUAGAGGUGGGAACAGUUAUUCUUUUAGGAAGGAAUUUCAUCAACAGAUAAG
This 2986-nucleotide long non-coding RNA is filed under the name Capsicum annuum. RNAcentral's name for it is "long non-coding RNA (CANN_LNC009558)". The record is from RNAcentral. Lineage: Eukaryota; Viridiplantae; Streptophyta; Magnoliopsida; Solanales; Solanaceae.